AAUGAACGCUGGCGGCAGGCCUAACACAUGCAAGUCGAACGGAAGAAUGGAGCUUGCUCCUGGAUUCAGCGGCGGACGGGUGAGUCAUGCCUAGGAAUCUGCCUGGUCGUGGGGGAUAACGUCCGGAAACGGGCGCUAAUACCGCAUACGUCCUGAGGGCGACAGUGGGUGAUCUUGGGACCUCACGCUAUCAUAUUAGCCUAGGUUGGAAUAGCUAGUUGGGGGGGUAACGGCAUACCAAGGCUACGAGCCGUAACUGGUCUGAGGGGAUGAUCAGUCACACGGGAACUGAGGCACGGCCCAGACUCCUACGGGAGGCAGCAGUCGGGAAUAUUGGGCGAUGGGGGAAAGGCUGAUCCAGCCAUGCCGCGUGUGGGAAGAAGGUCUUCGGAUUGGAAAGCACUUUAAGUUGGGAGGAAGUGCAGUAAGUUAAUACCUUGCUGUUUUGACGUUACCAGCAGAAUAAGCACCGGCUAACUUCGUG
Molecule: ribosomal RNA, 484 nt
Filed under: uncultured bacterium
Lineage: Bacteria
Description: partial 16S ribosomal RNA
Rfam family: Bacterial small subunit ribosomal RNA
Source: RNAcentral